CUCGAGUCGCGGAGGGCGGUGCAGCCGGCGAGGGUGACGCAGGGAAGCCGCGGCCGCUCCCUGAAGAGGAAGGAGAAAGAAUAUGAGCAUGAAAUGGAGCGGCUGGCACGGGAGAAGAUUGCCACGCAGCAGCGGCUGGCAGAGCUCAAGCACGAGCUGAGUCAGUGGAUGGACGUACUGGAGAUUGACCGUGUGCUGCGGCAGACGGGCCAGCCCGAGGAUGACCAGGCCUCCACCUCCACCGCCUCUGAGGGUGAGGACAACAUAGACGAGGAUAUGGAGGAGGACCGGGCGGGCCUGGGCCCACCUAAGCUGAGCCAUCGUCCCCAGCCGGAGCUGCUGAAGUCCACCCUGCCACCCCCCAGCACCACCCUGCGCCUCUGCCUCCACACCCACACCCUCACCCCCACUCUGUGGCCCUAUCUCCUGCUCACCUCCCCGUGCAGCAGCAGCAGCCACAGCAGAAGACCCCUCUGCCAGCCCCUCCUCCCCCACCAGCUGCCCCUGCCCAGACACUGGUGCCAGCUCCAGCCCAUCUGGUGGCGACGGCUGGGG
RNAcentral lists this small RNA (555 nucleotides) under Pongo abelii (Sumatran orangutan). RNAcentral describes it as "processed transcript". The record is from RNAcentral. Lineage: Eukaryota; Metazoa; Chordata; Mammalia; Primates; Hominidae.